Austrofundulus limnaeus is the source of this 548-nucleotide long non-coding RNA. RefSeq lists it as uncharacterized. NCBI's taxonomy places the organism in Eukaryota, Metazoa, Chordata, Actinopteri, Cyprinodontiformes, Rivulidae. The record is from RefSeq and is a predicted model, not a curated record. The transcript is spliced from 3 exons.
UUUUUUUUCUUGCCGGCGACUUCCGGUGACAACAAAGAUCAGAGAAAACGAGCUGGGAGGUUUUUCAAGCCAGGCCAUUUCUGGAGUUCAUAGCUGGGAGCAUUUCAGAUGCUGUUUCCGGGCCUGACCACCAGCGUCCUCAACUCCAUCACCUUUGGUGCUUACGUCAAUGGUUUGGAUUACCUCACUCAGUCUCAGCGCAGUCAGUGCAGUCAGACCGGCCUCUGAUACACAUGUCUUUACGGUUGGCUGUUUUUCAGGUGUGAUGCAGGUAAGAAAGAACGCUUGAGGGUUUUUUUUUUUUUUUUUUUGUGGGGGGUGCUUAUUCUCACAAAUCAGCCUGCAGAGUCGCAGCUGCACUGUAGUUUUUCCUGGACACCUGCUCACAGUGUCAGUUAUUAAUGUCAGAUAACUGACUGGAGCAGAUAAGAAUGGUUUAACUUUAGCAGGUGGCCAGUGGUGGACAAAGUACUCAACUCUAGUACUUGAGUAAAAGUACUGAUACUCAUUGUCAAAUCUUACUCAACUACAAAUAAAAGUUGCUCGGU